AUUGAACGCUGGCGGCAUGCUUUACACAUGCAAGUCGAACGGUAACAGCACUUCGGUGGCUGACGAGUGGCGAACGGGUGAGUAAUACAUCGGAACGUGCCUAGUAGUGGGGGAUAACUACUCGAAAGAGUAGCUAAUACCGCAUGAGAUCUAAGGAUGAAAGCAGGGGACCUUCGGGCCUUGCGCUACUAGAGCGGCUGAUGGCAGAUUAGGUAGUUGGGGGGAUAAAAGCUUACCAAGCCGACGAUCUGUAGCUGGUCUGAGAGGACGACCAGCCACACUGGGACUGAGACACGGCCCAGACUCCUACGGGAGGCAGCAGUGGGGAAUUUUGGACAAUGGGCGCAAGCCUGAUCCAGCAAUGCCGCGUGCAGGAUGAAGGCCUUCGGGUUGUAAACUGCUUUUGUACGGAACGAAAAGCCCUCUUCUAAUACAGGAGGGUCAUGACGGUACCGGAAGAAUAAGCACCGGCUAACUACGUG
RNAcentral lists this ribosomal RNA (482 nucleotides) under uncultured bacterium. Its description in RNAcentral is "partial 16S ribosomal RNA". It matches the Rfam family "Bacterial small subunit ribosomal RNA", at positions 30 to 507 of the family's 1533-position model. The record is from RNAcentral.